RNAcentral lists this unclassified non-coding RNA (281 nucleotides) under uncultured fungus. RNAcentral's name for it is "partial contains 5.8S ribosomal RNA, internal transcribed spacer 2, and large subunit ribosomal RNA". Lineage: Eukaryota; Fungi. The record is from RNAcentral.
AACGCACAUUGCGCCCCUUGGUACUCCAUGGGGCAUGCCUGUUCGAGCGUCAUCUAAACCCUCAAGCCUUUUGGGUGUUGUCCCGCCUUUGCGCGGUGCUCCGCCCGGUUUGGUGUUGGGCGUCUGUCCCGCCGCGCGCGCGGACUCGCCCCAAAUCCAUUGGCAGCGGUCCUUCAGCUUCUUGCGCAGCACAAUGCGUCUUGGGGCAUAGCAAGGGCACGCGUCCACUAAGCAACCCACAGUUUGACCUCGGAUCAGGUAGGGAUACCCGCUGAACUUAA